AGAGUUUGAUCAUGGCUCAGAACGAACGCUGGCGGCAGGCUUAACACAUGCAAGUCGAACGGUUGUAGCAAUACAGCAGUGGCAGACGGGUGAGUAACACGUGGGAACCUUCCUAGGGGUACGGAACAACUCAGGGAAACUUGAGCUAAUACCGUAUACGUCCGUGAGGAGAAAGAUUUAUCGCCCCUAGACGGGCCCGCGUAGGAUUAGGUAGUUGGUGAGGUAACGGCUCACCAAGCCUACGAUCCUUAGCUGAUCUGAGAGGACGACCAGCCACACUGGGACUGAGACACGGCCCAGACUCCUACGGGAGGCAGCAGUGGGGAAUUUUGGACAAUGGGCGCAAGCCUGAUCCAGCCAUGCCGCGUGUGUGAAGAAGGCCUUCGGGUUGUAAAGCACUUUCGGACGGAACGAAAUCGCGCGGUUGAAUAUUCCGCGUGGAUGACGGUACCGUAAGAAGAG
Molecule: ribosomal RNA, 462 nt
Filed under: uncultured Kaistia sp.
Lineage: Bacteria; Pseudomonadati; Pseudomonadota; Alphaproteobacteria; Hyphomicrobiales; Kaistiaceae
Description: bacterial SSU rRNA
Rfam family: Bacterial small subunit ribosomal RNA
Source: RNAcentral